Non-coding RNA from Vicugna pacos (alpaca), 981 nucleotides. NCBI's taxonomy places the organism in Eukaryota, Metazoa, Chordata, Mammalia, Artiodactyla, Camelidae. The record is from RefSeq and is a predicted model, not a curated record.
GCCGCCUCCUCCCUACAGCCAGGGUGGUGCUCCAGAGCCUCUCCCCAGAGUACGCCCACUAGCUGAAUUUUGUCACUCUAAGUGUUAAAUAAGUGAGUAAAUAAAUAAAUAACAUUAAGGGAAAAGGACAUCCCUUCCUAAACAUCAAGACUUUGCAUAAGCUGAAUAGGGCAAGAGUGCAAUCAACAGUUAUCUUAAAAGUGAAUCUUCUUUUCAUCCACCUCUCAUUUUUCCCUUAAAUGAGGAAACACAUUGGCCUAGCAAGGAUAGUAUUUGUGCCUUGAGGAUAGCAGUUAUAGAAUAGAUCCAUCUAAGAUACGGUAUUCUGCAUUUUGUUGCUUUAUUUAUUUUUUUAGAGAGGGUAAUACCAGUCUUCAAAGAAAAUGAGGUGAAGACGAUUGCUUCAGUAAUAACAUCUAUGUUUUGAGAUGGGUGUGUGGUCAAGUGUGCUUUUAGGGUUUUCUGUAUUUAGGAGAUCCAGAAUUCUUGAUUUUUGGCCAACUUUCAGGCAAGUAAAAAUCUGGGAAGCCUGUAAAUUUUUCUAAGUUUACCCAAAAAAAUGCUCUGUUCCUUCUUUGGCACAUGCUUAUGCUGCUGGAGGCUAAAUCCUCAAUAAAACCUAAGGAGGAGACUAAUAAUUCAUUAAAAUAAAUCAGUGGUGUUGCUACUAAUUCUGAUCCCGUAGAAUUGUUGAUAUGGAUAAAUAGCAUAUCCUGGGCAGAUGAACUCAACCUGAGAUUAAAGUAUGCUUUGGUCACAGUUGCCUACGAAUAUGGGUUUCAAAGCAAACAUAAAGCCUUAACUUAGAAUUUCAUUAUGUUUUAGAAUCAUCACUGCCUUAAUGUUCAAACAUUUAAUUUAAGUUCUCCUAGCAAAGGAGAAAUGCAUGUUUGUUUAUGGCUUUUUGUAAAUAUAUAUGCAGUGAUCUAUGGCUUUACAAAUUGUGUGUGUGUGUGUGUGUUUCUGUGUGUGUCUGUGACA